CAAGAGCGUAUGUAAAAGUUGUUGCAGUUAAAAAGCUCGUAGUUGAACCUUGGGUUUGGUUGGCCGGUCCGCUUUUUUGCGAGUACUGGAUUCAACCGAGCCUUUCCUUCUGGCUAACCAGUCGUUUCGGCGGCUGGCGAACCAGGAUUUUUACUUUGAGAAAAUUAGAGCGUUCAAAGCAGGCAUUAGCUUGAAUAUAUUAGCAUGGAAUAAUAGAAUAGGACGUUAUGGUUCUAUUUUGUUGGUUUCUAGGACCAUCGUAAUGAUUAAUAGGGACGGUCGGGGGCAUCAGUAUUCAGUUGUCAGAGGUGAAAUUCUUGGAUUUACUGAAGACUAACUACUGCGAAAGCAUUUGCCAAGGACGUUUUCAUUAA
Molecule: ribosomal RNA, 374 nt
Filed under: uncultured eukaryote
Lineage: Eukaryota
Description: partial 18S ribosomal RNA
Rfam family: Eukaryotic small subunit ribosomal RNA
Source: RNAcentral